Molecule: non-coding RNA, 207 nt
Organism: Vicia faba (fava bean)
Lineage: Eukaryota; Viridiplantae; Streptophyta; Magnoliopsida; Fabales; Fabaceae
Source: the annotation of a GenBank genome assembly
AUGCUUACCAUUAGAUGGUGUAUUUUGGUGGCAAAAGAUUUGAAUUUGCAGAAGAUUGUUAUUCACUUUGAUUGUCUGAAUGUGGUGGAUUGCUUCAAUGGUUUUUGCAAGAAUGCUUCCCUCGAUCACAUAGUUGAAGAUUGUAGGCUGUUAUGUAGUAAUUUUCUUGUUGUGUCGUUUUGUUUAUCUGUAGGGAAUUCAAUUUAG